Molecule: ribosomal RNA, 165 nt
Filed under: uncultured bacterium
Lineage: Bacteria
Description: partial 16S rRNA
Rfam family: Bacterial small subunit ribosomal RNA
Source: RNAcentral
UAGGGAAUCUUCCACAAUGGGCGAAAGCCUGAUGGAGCAACGCCGCGUGUGUGAUGAAGGGUUUCGGCUCGUAAAACACUGUUGUAAGAGAAGAAUGACAUUGAGAGUAACUGUUCAAUGUGUGACGGUAUCUUACCAGAAAGGAACGGCUAAAUACGUGCCGAG